CAACUCAAAAGAGAUGCGGUAUAAAAGAGGAUUUGAAUGGAGACCUUGAAUCCUAGGCUGACAAGUCUGGACUUGAGUACAAAGAUAUAUUUUAACAUUUUCCUGAGCCACCGUUUGCCUAGGCUGCAUGACAUACCAAUUCUUAUGGAAGGACUCAGUGCUCACCAUCCUCGAAAACCUGAUUCAAAACCUAUCUUGCCAUUCUUGCGUAAGACCUACAUCUAGAGUCAUGUUUAAAACUUUUCCCCCAUUAGAAACCCAAUAUAUAAAAUAGACAAAAGUGAACUGCUCAGGCAAGAAGGGGAUGGGAAUAGCCAAGUAGAUAGGGGCGUAGAGUCCCUUUAUUUGUCCCCUACCCACUUGUUUUCUCUUAAGGUACUUUCAAAGGUUCUGGGGCAACCUGAAAACCCAUAGCCUUGUCAUUUAUUUCUAGCCUUGGCUGUACAUUAGAAUCACUUGAGAAACUUUGAAAAAAGCUUGGGUGACAGAGCGAGACUCCGUCUCAAAAAAAAAAAAAAAAAAAAAAAAGCUUGGGCCUCACCUUAGACCAACUAAUAAAUCUGUGUGUGUGUGUGUGUGUGUGUGUGUGUGUGUGUGUGUGUGUGUGUGUCUAGAGUGCCUGCUUUAGACACUCAUUGUGUGCUAUU
This 647-nucleotide long non-coding RNA is filed under the name Homo sapiens (human). RNAcentral describes it as "HSALNT0370327". Lineage: Eukaryota; Metazoa; Chordata; Mammalia; Primates; Hominidae. The record is from RNAcentral.